GCAACCUACCAUGGGAAUGGGGGAAACGUUCGGAAACGGACGCUAAUACCGCAUACGUCCUACGGGAGAAAGCAGGGGACCUUCGGGCCUUGCGCUAUCAGAUGAGCCUAGGUCGGAUUAGCUAGUUGGUGAGGUAAUGGCUCACCAAGGCUACGAUCCGUAACUGGUCUGAGAGGAUGAUCAGUCACACUGGAACUGAGACACGGUCCAGACUCCUACGGGAGGCAGCAGUGGGGAAUAUUGGACAAUGGGCGAAAGCCUGAUCCAGCCAUGCCGCGUGUGUGAAGAAGGUCUUCGGAUUGUAAAGCACUUUAAGUUGGGAGGAAGGGCAUUAACCUAAUACGUUAGUGUUUUGACGUUACCGACAGAAUAAGCACCGGCUAACUCUGUGCCAGCAGCCGCGGUAAUACAGAGGGUGCAAGCGUUAAUCGGAAUUACUGGGCGUAAAGCGCGCGUAGGUGGUUUGUUAAGUUGAAUGUGAAAUCCCCGGGCUCAACCUGGGAACUGCAUCCAAAACUGGCAAGCUAGAGUAUGGUAGAGGGUAGUGGAAUUUCCUGUGUAGCGGUGAAAUGCGUAGAUAUAGGAAGGAACACCAGUGGCGAAGGCGACUACCUGGACUGAUACUGACACUGAGGUGCGAAAGCGUGGGGAGCAAACAGGAUUAGAUACCCUGGUAGUCCACGCCGUAAACGAUGUCAACUAGCCGUUGGGAGUCUUGAACUCUUAGUGGCGCAGCUAACGCAUUAAGUUGACCGCCCUGGGGAGUACGGCCGCAAGGUUAAAACUCAAAUGAAAUUGACGGGGGGCCCGCACAAGCGGUGGAGCAUGGUGGUUUUAUUUCGAAGGCAACGCGGAAGAACCUUUACCAGGGCCUUGGACAUCCAAUGAAACUUUCUAGAAGUAUGAAUCGGGUGCCUUUCGGGAACCAUUGAAACAGAGUGUGCUGCAUAUGGCCUGUCCGUCAGCUCGUGUCCGUGAGAAUGUCGGUUUAAGUUCCCGUAACCGAAGGCGCAAACCUUGUGUCUCAUAAGUUACCAAGCACGUUAUUGGUGUGCACACUCUCUAAAGAAACUGGCCGGUUGAACCAAUCCGGAAGGAACGGUGGGAAGUGACCUCAAGUCACUCCUGGCCUUUCA
Molecule: ribosomal RNA, 1136 nt
Filed under: uncultured bacterium
Lineage: Bacteria
Description: bacterial SSU rRNA
Rfam family: Bacterial small subunit ribosomal RNA
Source: RNAcentral